GAUGAACGCUGGCGGCGCGCCUAACACAUGCAAGUCGAACGGAGUCCAGCCUUAGAGACCUUCGGGUCAAAGAGGGGAAGACUGAGUGGCGGACGGGUGAGUAACACGUGGGCAACCUGGCUCAUAGAGGGGGAUAACAGAGAGAAAUUUCUGCUAAUACCGCAUAAGCACACACUGCCGCAUGGCAGAGGGUGAAAAGAGAAUCGCUAUGAGAUGGACCCGCGUCUGAUUAGCCAGUUGGCAGGGUAAGAGCCUACCAAAGCGACGAUCAGUAGCCGAUCUGAGAGGAUGAACGGCCACAUUGGGACUGAGACACGGCCCAAACUCCUACGGGAGGCAGCAGUGGGGGAUAUUGCACAAUGGGGGGAACCCUGAUGCAGCGACGCCGCGUGAGUGAAGAAGUAUUUCGGUAUGUAAAGCUCUAUCAGCAGGGAAGAUAAUGACAGUACCUAAUAAGAGCCCC
This 463-nucleotide ribosomal RNA is filed under the name Oribacterium sp. oral taxon 372. RNAcentral's name for it is "bacterial SSU rRNA". It matches the Rfam family "Bacterial small subunit ribosomal RNA", at positions 28 to 494 of the family's 1533-position model. Lineage: Bacteria; Bacillati; Bacillota; Clostridia; Lachnospirales; Lachnospiraceae. The record is from RNAcentral.